GAUCUCACUCUGUCACCCAGGAUGGAGUGCAGUGGUGUGAGCAUAGCUCACUGCAGCCUUUAUCUCCCAGGCUCAAGCGAUCCUAUCAUCUCAACCUCUCAAGUCCUGGGACUACAGGGUGGAAAAGUGGAGAACUAGGAGAGGCAGGAGUCAAAGACAUUGCUGGAUGCAUUGAGAAAACAAAUGUCAGUGCUAGGCCUGGAAGCUUCUUAAAAAGGACGAUGAAAUCACGAAGCUGAAAUCGGAACAACGUGCUUAGAUGACUUUGCAUUCCAUGAAGUCGGGGAGCAUAGAGGUUUUGUCUAUGGAGGUUGAUCAAGGGGGGUCUGAGGGAACCACAUGAUGUGAGCUGAGACAUGGACACACGACAUGGCAG
Long non-coding RNA from Pan troglodytes (chimpanzee), 376 nucleotides. RefSeq lists it as uncharacterized. The record is from RefSeq and is a predicted model, not a curated record. The transcript has 3 exons. NCBI's taxonomy places the organism in Eukaryota, Metazoa, Chordata, Mammalia, Primates, Hominidae.